RNAcentral lists this ribosomal RNA (320 nucleotides) under uncultured eukaryote. Its description in RNAcentral is "partial 18S ribosomal RNA". It matches the Rfam family "Eukaryotic small subunit ribosomal RNA", at positions 1470 to 1796 of the family's 1831-position model. The record is from RNAcentral.
CCCCUAGACGUCCUCGGCCGCACGUGUUCUACAAUGACACAGGCAACGAGUAUGUCCUGCUCCGACAGGAGUCGGGUAAUCUUUAUAGUUUGUGUCGUGCUUAGGAUUGUCUUUUGUAAUUAUAGGACAUGAAUUAGGAAUUCCUAGUAUAGGUACGUCAUCAUCGUACCUAGAUUAAGUCCCUGCCCUUUGUACACACCGCCCGUCGCUCCUACCGAUUGAGAGAUUCAGUGAACCUCCUGGAGCGGUUAGGAUCUUUAAGGUUCUUUCUGCAAAGUUAAGUAAACUAUUAUCUCUUAGAGGAAGGAGAAGUCGUAACA